This 73-nucleotide transfer RNA is filed under the name Ixodes scapularis (black-legged tick). It matches the Rfam family "tRNA". Rfam says of the family: Transfer RNA (tRNA) molecules are approximately 80 nucleotides in length. Their secondary structure includes four short double-helical elements and three loops (D, anti-codon, and T loops). Lineage: Eukaryota; Metazoa; Arthropoda; Arachnida; Ixodida; Ixodidae. The record is from Rfam by way of RNAcentral.
CCCUGGUUAGCUCAUUUGGUAGAGCGCUCCACUUGUAAUGGAGAGGUCCCGGGUUCGAUACCCGGACCAGGCG